This 258-nucleotide RNase P RNA is filed under the name Meriones unguiculatus (Mongolian gerbil). RNAcentral describes it as "Nuclear RNase P (ENSMUGG00000023431.1)". It matches the Rfam family "Nuclear RNase P", at positions 1 to 250 of the family's 301-position model. Rfam says of the family: Ribonuclease P (RNase P) is a ubiquitous endoribonuclease, found in archaea, bacteria and eukarya as well as chloroplasts and mitochondria. Lineage: Eukaryota; Metazoa; Chordata; Mammalia; Rodentia; Muridae. The record is from RNAcentral.
GGCAGGGAAAGCUCAUCAAGGUGGCCAAGGCACUGAGUGCUCCUCAUUCCCCGGCCCCUUGGGAAAAUCUGUGACUGGAGCCUCUGGAGGCCCUAACUGGGCUCUUCCUGAGGAGUCAGGAGGUGAGUUCCUAGAGAGCAGGCCUCCAUUCUUGGGCAGUCUGGGCAGGAGAUGCCCCCAGUAGGCAGAUGCUUCCCUGGCCGGAGCUUGCAACAGACUCACAGCCAGCACAGAGCGAGACAAACUUAUUUUGAUGGC